RNAcentral lists this unclassified non-coding RNA (3104 nucleotides) under Anneissia japonica. RNAcentral's name for it is "syntaxin-7-like, transcript variant X1". The record is from RNAcentral. Lineage: Eukaryota; Metazoa; Echinodermata; Crinoidea; Comatulida; Comatulidae.
CCUCUAUCUAAGUAUAUAGGUUGGCUAUUUUUGAUCGAUGAUGACAUACGGUAAGAGGUCAGAAUACUGUAAUCGGAAGAGGCAGGCCUGUGUAUAAUUGUUUUAUUAAUAUAUGAUUAAUAAUCUACUUCGCAUAUUUAUUGAGGUGGUUUGUACUAAAGAGGGUUACUUUAAUUCUACCUAAUUACUAGUGCAUUUAUGCACACACAGUUUUGAAGAAAGCAGAUUUUAACUUCAGCCUUACUUUCCAUACUGGAUUCAGCGAGGUGUACUUAUACCAAAAUGGCAUCUUACGGCAAGGGAGACUUUGGGUCGGAGAUGUAUGAUGCAUCUUACAUAAAUUCAGGCGGAAGAAGUAAUACAUCAGAUUUUAACAGACUUUCACAAGUCAUUGGAAGCAAUAUACAGAAAAUCAACACUAAAGUGAGUGAAGUUCAACGAAUGGUCGAUAAGUUGGGGACACGUGAAGAUGAUCAUGAUCUGCGUACGAAACUUGAUGAGGUCCAGCAUUUCACCAACCAGCUUGCAAAGGAAACCAAUUCACAUCUGAAGGAUAUGGCUUCACUUUCUUUAUCAGGACAAGAUACAAGGCAGGCUAGGAUGCAGAAGGAGAGACUGACAAAUGACUUCUCAACAGCCUUGAACCAGUUCCAACGGGUGCAACGGGAGGCUGCUCAACGACAGAGAGAAUGUGUGAAUAGGGUCAGGGCUUCCUCUGGCUUAGGCACUUCUGCUAACCCCUACGAGGACAAUGGUCACAAUGAAGACCUACUUGGAUUAGGUGGAUCUGGUACAACUACAUCACAGGUGAUGUUUCAAGAGGAUGACUUAGAAUCACUACAGGAAAGGGAAGCCCAGCUGAAGAAGCUUGAGUCUGAUAUUUUGGAUGUUAAUCACAUUUUUAAGGACCUUGCUCAUAUCGUCCAUGAACAAGGGGAGAUGAUAGAUAGCAUAGAGGCAAAUGUAGAGUCGGCAGAAAUCCAUGUUGAGGAAGCCAACGUUCAGCUGCACAAAGCUAGGGAUUAUCAGAAAAAAUCCAGAAAGAAGAUGUGUUGUAUUUUUAUUUUCUGUAUCGUUCUACUUGGUAUCAUAGCAUUAGUCCUUUACUUGACACUAAAACCAUAGAAAUAGCAGUCUGCUACCAAAUCGAUGUGGGUUUACAUUGUGUAUAGGUCUCCCUCUAAUUAAAGACCCUCCAAUUAGAGACCACCUCCAAUUAAGGACCACAUUUUUGUGACCCCCAUAUUAACAAAUGUGUUUGAUCUUUAUUUUAAUUAUAUCACCAUGUAAACCCUGGUCCCAAAAGUGGUCUUUAGUUCGAGGGAGACCUGUAGUCUCUUAUCAGAAAACUAAAAUUGUACAGUUAGAUAUUAAUGCAAUUGUAUAUCAUUUUACUUCUUUUUCUGUUGGAUUUUUUUAGGCAAAAACAAUGAAAUUAAUUUUUUUCUUUUUCAUUUCCAAUUUCUUCUAAGUACAAGGUCAAUAUCAAAGGUUAAUGCUAUGCUAAUGUAAGGUUAAUGAUUUUCCAAUAGAGUGCUUUCGAUUUGCGAUGACAUAGAACGUAAUUACAUCAUAUUAAUUUAAUUGCGCAUGUCUGAACAUCGUGCAUUAUUGUUCUCUCCUUAAAUCUUGAAUGGUUGUCGACCGAAUCAAAAUUCAGGCCAGAACAAGGACUGUACUGUAUUAAAUAUUGGUGCGUCAACCUUUUGCAUUUUUGACACAUCCGUGUACACUCGGCAAGAAAUCAAAAUGUAUUUAAAGUAGAACACCUGUUUCACGUUCCCGUUCUACGUUUUCAAUCAAAAGCGACUUAAUGUCAAAGUGCUGCUGCAUUGAUGAAUACUCCCCGGGGUACUGAGUAUGUGUUACUGGGUACGUGUUUGUUCCAAUCACUAGGGUAAUAAUGUGAAGUGCAUAGAGGCCUUGACAUAUGCUGUAUAAGACUAGAAAUGUUAUUUUAGGGAUACUCCUAUACAAAGCACCAUUGAUGUAAUCAGGUGUUUUCAUGAUUAAAUGAAGUAUUUUAUUGUAUUUAUUAUCAGUCAUCCAGUGAUUUUAAAAAGUAUACUGUAUAUUGUUAAUUAAUGUUGGUUGUAUUUUUCUGUUACCCUUAUAAGGUCACUGUCCAGGUUAACAGGAUAUUAAAAAAUUGCCAAAUUAUUAUGUAAUAAUAUAAUUAUUACCAUAAUAAUUAAUGUUUGGUACACAUUCACAUGCGGUUUUUAACAAAUUCUAUUAUAAUACACAGGUUGUGUAAAUGUAGGUCAUAUUCUGCUUUGUAAUAUGACUAAUUAGCGUAGGAUUCACACUAAUAAUUUAGAUAAAAUUUGUGGCACAAUGGUGAAGCUGCAGGCUUUAAUGGUAAAUCAGGGGUUCGAGUCUACUAUGAUCACUUGUGUGUGUCCUUGAGUAAUGCACUUUACCUAUAUCUAGCACUCUACCCAGGGGAUUAUUGAGUGAGUGGCAUAAUUGUAUGUCAGUUCAAGCUGAGUAUGUGUUCCAUUUUGAUUAAGUAAGUUGGUGCUUAAUCUAGCUAGGCCGGGCACACAUUGCAUUACCCAACUGUCGACAGACAAACUCAUUAUUGCUUUCUCUGUUAACGCUUCACAUCGCUGCCUGCUGAUUGUCUGUCUCUAGAAUCGCUUUGACUGACGUAUGCCUACAUGCUGUGUGCCUGGCUUAACUGUGCAUAAACAUUGAUCAACAUUUUACAAUAUUUCAUAAUUGUAAUAUAUUACAAUUUCACAAUAUCAACAUUUUAGAAGAUAAAGUGAGGCAUAUAAGCAGUAUGGAACUUCUGUAUGUAAUUCAAUGUUUUUAAAUAUAAGAAAUUAAUUAAAAAUGAUUGAAAAUAUAAAAAAAACAGGUCUCUCUAUUUUAAAACCCUCCAAUUAAAGACUACUUUUCUGUGGUCGCAAAAUAACAAAAUGUCUUUUAUUAUUCUAAUUAGAGACCAAACUUGCUAAAGACCAAUGAAACACCAGUCCUAAAAGUGGUCUUUAAUUGGAGGUAGACCUGUACUAGUUUAGCUGAUACAUAUUGAAUCUGAUAUUUUUUAUAAAGAUUAUUAUAUAAAUAAUAAUAAUUAAUAUAUUACAAGGGAA